Molecule: ribosomal RNA, 465 nt
Filed under: Vreelandella stevensii
Lineage: Bacteria; Pseudomonadati; Pseudomonadota; Gammaproteobacteria; Oceanospirillales; Halomonadaceae
Description: partial 16S ribosomal RNA
Rfam family: Bacterial small subunit ribosomal RNA
Source: RNAcentral
CCUACGGGUGGCAGCAGUGGGGAAUAUUGGACAAUGGGGGCAACCCUGAUCCAGCCAUGCCGCGUGUGUGAAGAAGACCCUCGGGUUGUAAAGCACUUUCAGUGAGGAAGAACGCCUGGUGGUUAAUACCCAUCAGGAAAGACAUCACUCACAGAAGAAGCACCGGCUAACUCCGUGCCAGCAGCCGCGGUAAUACGGAGGGUGCGAGCGUUAAUCGGAAUUACUGGGCGUAAAGCGCGCGUAGGUGGCUUGAUAAGCCGGUUGUGAAAGCCCCGGGCUCAACCUGGGAACGGCAUCCGGAACUGUCAAGCUAGAGUGCAGGAGAGGAAGGUAGAAUUCCCGGUGUAGCGGUGAAAUGCGUAGAGAUUGGGAGGAAUACCAGUGGCGAAGGCGGCCUUCUGGACUGACACUGACACUGAGGUGCGAAAGCGUGGGUAGCAAACAGGAUUAGAUACCCUGGUAGUC